Molecule: long non-coding RNA, 3464 nt
Organism: Parus major (Great Tit)
Lineage: Eukaryota; Metazoa; Chordata; Aves; Passeriformes; Paridae
Exons: 2
Source: RefSeq, a predicted model, not a curated record
CCAGGCGCGAGGCGCGAGGCGCGGCGCGCGCGGUAACGCCGCGGGGCGGGAGCGCUGAGGGCAGGUGCACCAUGGAACCAUGGAGUGGGAAAAGCUGGGAGGCACCGCAGUCUGGGCCAAAAUGCAGGCGGGGUCAGCCUAGAGCACACGGCUCAGGUUUGCUUCCAGACGGUUCCUGGAUAACCGGGAGACCCCACGAUCUCUCUGGGCGACCUGUUCACUUGCUCACUUCUCCCCCACACCCAGUGUGGGGGGAAACAGAAAAGGAAAAGCAAGGAAACUGGUAGGUCAAGGUACAGCUCAGUAUGUGAAAAAAUAAGAGAGAAGGAAACCAGAACAAGGGCUCAGGCAGUCACUGUCCACUCCCCAGGGGUAUGCCAGUUCCCAGGAAAACGAUGGUUAAUUUCCCUCUCUGCCCGGGAGCACGAUGUUACACAGCUGGUUUAGUGGUGUCACCUGCCCCUCCAUUUGGCACCCCCAGUGUUCACUGGGGCAACAGAGCAAGAAACAGAAAACGCCUCGGUGCCGAUGCUGUUCAGCAAUGACAGCCCACCCAGCCGCUGUAAAGAACAUUGAGUCAGAUCCAGUACUAUAGAUCACAAAAUAUCUUCGAGAGGGAGGAUGGUGAGGUCUUCCACCUGAAGAGACAUGGUGUUGUCAGUGUCAUGUAAUGCUCAUACAUAUAUUCAGCAGUAAAAAAACCACAGCCCCCUGUGUCUUGGCCUGGAAAUAGGCAGGGGUCUGGGACAGCUGGUCUUAAGCUUUUGAGACUUUGCAAGAAUACUAUAAAAAUUUUAUAAUCCAGAAUGAUUUCCUCCUUCCAAAUAAUUACUUGGGAAAAUGAGAUGUUCGGUAGAAAAUUAAUUUAUAUUCUGGGAAAAUAUUUCUGAAAUUCUCGGGGGACAGGAGAGAAGAGUCAGUCGCAGAGAAACAGAGAAACUGUAAAAGGCAGUAUCACAUUUCUGGGAGAGGAGCAAAAAUUAUCUAAAUCUAAGCAAAGACGUAGUUGAAUGGUGGGAGUAAAAGAAUUUUUAAAUUUGCCGUGCCUCGCUGGAGCACAGGGUGGAGGUAAUGAUCCAGGUCUGGGUCCAUUGAAGUGAAGGGCUCCCAUGAUACAGCUUCCAUACAACAAAAAACAGACCUGUACUUCAUAAAGUUUUAGGUUUUGUGAUGUAUCCAUAAUUUUGCUGUGGUAAUUGAUUCUCACCUGUUGGCAUUUGUCAGCUAGCUCAGCCUUAUUUCUUAUCCAUUUUAUAUUGUUUUUAAAGAAAUAUUUAAAUUUUAAUUUUUAAAUUUAAUAUUUAAUUAAAGAAAGAUUCUUUCUCUCGAUAUGUUUAAAUUAGUGCAGAUGGCAAUGAGUGUAUGCAGAGUUUGCAGGAAUAAUGCCUGCUGGAUUCACAUUACAGACCAGGUUGCUUGUGGUCUCUGGGAACAUUUAGUGCACCCUGGACUGGUCUGUUAAAAACCUAUUCUGUGGGCAUCUGGGAAUGAGCUGCCUAACAGCAUAGGAGGAAUGGUAGGAUAACUAGAUGCUGUAGGGCAUCUGUUCUGAAGUGCAGGUAGGUGUUACUUGAUUGCAACAGGUAAUCUCUUGUGGUAACAAAUCGAUACAGAAUCAUAAAAUGAUUUAGAUUGGAGGAAGCCUCUGAAGUUCAAAGCAGGGCCAACCUUACAGUAAGUUUCUCAGUUUGCUCCUCCCAAAUGGUUUCAUCAUGCCUUUGUUGUCAGCUCACUAUGAGGGAUUCCACCACUGAGCAGUGCUCUCAGAAAAGGGAACAUAACUGAAUCAUUGUUGCUAAUUUAAUUGUUCUGUAAUGCCUCUGCUACGCUGAAAUCAAAAUUGCAUUGGUCUAUUUAUUAAUUGAAUUUCACGGAGUGUCUUCACAGACACAGGUUUCCCUAGGUAAUCUUAACUUUUGCAUGAUGGUUUUUGUUGCUGAGUGAUUUGCAAAAAUUGCAAACCACUUAAUCUUCACAGCAGAAGCAUUUUCAGACUGCUUUGUUGCAAAUGCAGUUUUCUAUUGUGUUCAUAGUAGGACAAAAUAUUUCCAAAAGCAUCCUGAGAUGCUGCAGCAAAAAUGCAUUUAUUUUGUAACAAUGUUGUAGUUUCUUUUUCAGCUUUUCAGUUCCCCUGACAAACCCACAUGCUACUAAGGCUCAUAAUUAAAAAAUAACCAUUGAUGUACAUCUGCAGGCAAUUUUUUAACAUACCUUUUUCACCCACAGUCUCUUGAGACUCAGUAGUGUUUACUGCCAAAGUUCAUUCAUUUGGAUGACAGCCAGGAUAUCUUUGCUUUUAUGCUCUUUGAUGGGACAGUGCAGCUCCUGCUGUGACCUAAGAAACACCUUCAUGAUGAGGCUGACACUUCCAAGACAGCUUCUGAAACUGCUGGAUUGUUGUCCUAUCCCUAGAGUACGUCUCUGCACUGGGUAUUCAGUAAGGAAGAUUCAAGAUUUCUUUUAAAGAACUUUCAAGGCUCACUAACAUGAUUUUUGUGUUAUGAAAUCUAUAUUCCUGGGCAUGUGAAAGUUUCAGUUCAAAUACCCCUGUAUAAUGAGGGACUUUGGAAGCUGGAAGUUGACUGAUAGGAGAGAAGGCACCCUUGUCUCCCAAGCAAAAGCAUUUCUCUGCUGUGGGGAUCACACAGGAGAGUGAAUGUAUUGGAAUUGGAGCCUUAUUACCAGGGCAGGAACAAGUGCACGUUUUUCCUGAUACCCUAGAUGUGGAAAACUAGAUCAUAGAAGAAAAUAAAUAGUAUAAGCUGUCACUUUGUAGUUUGAACUCUGCUACUCCACAGCACAAGUACCAGGAAGAGAAUGCAAUGAUCUAAGCUAAUGAGGGAGAACUCGGAAACCUUGAUGCCAUUCUUAGUCUGCAGUUCUGCCUGUGCUGUGUGCUCAGGUGUCACUGAAGUACAUAUACCAAAGUAGAUUUUCGUGGCAUGUGUUCAGCUGCCUAGGGAGCCUUGAGUGCCUUGGGAAGACUUGUGUGCUGGAAUUUCAUUGUUGUCCAGCCUGGCAUGGGCAUAUCUGGUCAUUUCACAAUCCUUGUUUCCAGAUUACAGUUGGAGAAGACUUGAAAGUGUAAUUCCUAUUAGUAGAAACUCUCACAUUGGUUGUGUCAGCACAAUGUUUGGACUAAAUUGGCAGCUGUUUCUGAGAUAAAUUGAACUCAAAUUGAGCUUGUACAAUAAUUCUUCUUGGAAUUACCUUAUAAGUGAUAUUUGGAAAAGUAAAUCACAAUUUUUCAGGUCAAUUACUUAAUUUUGCACAAUCACACACUGUGACCUUAGGUUAGGAAGGAAAGCUAACCGUCCAUUGUCUGAUACCUGUUCCCUUGCAUGCUCUUAGUACACAACGAAUAUGAGCUAAUGUGCCUUAAUUUAGCCUACAGUGGAAGAAUUUUCAGUGUAAUUGAAUUAACUCUGUAUUUCCUGAAGAAUAAAAUAUACAUAUGGACAGGU